AAUAGACAACAAAUUUCAGAUCAAUAUUCGCAGCGGAAAGUAAUAAUUCAUAAAAUAGUUACGUAGAGAAUGAAAUCUACUAAUAUCUAUGAAUUUAACAGUCCAUCAUCAUUAUUUUAUCCCUGUAACAUCAAUCAAUAUUCAUCUUGAAUCAAAUAUUCAUCUUUGCACUACAGGCCAAAGAUAUUCAUCAGUUGGUCAUGUUCACCUCAA
RNAcentral lists this long non-coding RNA (213 nucleotides) under Panax ginseng (ginseng). RNAcentral describes it as "long non-coding RNA (PGIN_LNC013865)". Lineage: Eukaryota; Viridiplantae; Streptophyta; Magnoliopsida; Apiales; Araliaceae. The record is from RNAcentral.